GGCUACACAUGCAGUCGAACGGUAACAGGAAGCAGCUUGCUGCUUCGCUGACGAGUGGCGGACGGGUGAGUAAUGUCUGGGAAACUGCCUGAUGGAGGGGGAUAACUACUGGAAACGGUAGCUAAUACCGCAUAACGUCGCAAGACCAAAGAGGGGGACCUUCGGGCCUCUUGCCAUCGGAUGUGCCCAGAUGGGAUUAGCUAGUAGGUGGGGUAACGGCUCACCUAGGCGACGAUCCCUAGCUGGUCUGAGAGGAUGACCAGCCACACUGGAACUGAGACACGGUCCAGACUCCCACGGGAGGCAGCAGUGGGGAAUAUUGCACAAUGGGCGCAAGCCUGAUGCAGCCAUGCCGCGUGUAUGAAGAAGGCCUUCGGGUUGUAAAGUACUUUCAUCGGGGAGAAAGGCGAUAAGGUUAAUAACCUUGUCGAUUGACGUUACCCGCCAGAAAAAAAACCGGCUAACUCCGUGCCAGCAGCCGCGGUAAUACGAGGGUGCAAGCGUU
Molecule: ribosomal RNA, 505 nt
Filed under: uncultured bacterium
Lineage: Bacteria
Description: bacterial SSU rRNA
Rfam family: Bacterial small subunit ribosomal RNA
Source: RNAcentral